AUACGGAGGGGGCUAGCGUUGUUCGGAAUUACUGGGCGUAAAGCGCAUGUAGGUGGUGUGGCAAGUUAGAGGUGAAAGGCCUGGGCUCAACCUGGGAACUGCCUUUAAUACUGUCACGCUAGAGUUCGGGAGAGGGUAGCGGAAUUCCAAGUGUAGAGGUGAAAUUCGUAGAUAUUUGGAAGAACACCGGUGGCGAAGGCGGCUACCUGGACCGACACUGACACUGAGAUGCGAAAGCGUGGGGAGCGAACAGGAUUAGAUACCCUGGUAGUCC
RNAcentral lists this ribosomal RNA (274 nucleotides) under uncultured bacterium. RNAcentral's name for it is "partial 16S ribosomal RNA". It matches the Rfam family "Bacterial small subunit ribosomal RNA", at positions 523 to 796 of the family's 1533-position model. The record is from RNAcentral.